This 1271-nucleotide ribosomal RNA is filed under the name Forsteropsalis pureora. RNAcentral's name for it is "partial large subunit ribosomal RNA". It matches the Rfam family "Eukaryotic large subunit ribosomal RNA", at positions 665 to 1849 of the family's 3401-position model. The record is from RNAcentral. Lineage: Eukaryota; Metazoa; Arthropoda; Arachnida; Opiliones; Neopilionidae.
ACCAAGGAGUCUAACAUGUGCGCGAGUCAUUGGGUCUUGAAUAGGCCCAAAGGCGUAAUGAAAGUGAAGGGCGGUUCGGCCGUCUGCCUUGGGAUCCCGCGGACCUCGCGUUCGCGGGCGCACCAAGGGCCCGUCCCGGUCGCCUCGUCGACGGGGCGGAGCAAGAGCGUACACGUUGGGACCCGAAAGAUGGUGAACUAUGCCUGGGCAGGACGAAGCCAGAGGAAACUCUGGUGGAGGUCCGCAGCGAUUCUGACGUGCAAAUCGAUCGUCAGACCUGGGUAGGGGCGAAAGACUAAUCGAACCAUCUAGUAGCUGGUUCCCUCCGAAGUUUCCCUCAGGAUAGCUGGCGCUCGGAGGAUGCAGUCUCAUCCGGUAAAGCGAAUGAUUAGAGGCCUUGGGGUCGAAAAGACCUCAACCUAUUCUCAAACUUUAAAUGGGUGAGAAGUCCGGUUUGCUCGACUGAAGCCCGGACGGCAACUUGGAUGCGAGUGCCAAGUGGGCCACUUUUGGUAAGCAGAACUGGCGCUGUGGGAUGAACCAAACGCCGGGUUAAGGGGCCCGAUGCGAGACGCUCAUGAGAUCCCAUGAAAGGUGUUGGUUGCUAUAGACAGCAGGACGGUGGCCAUGGAAGUCGGAAUCCGCUAAGGAGUGUGUAACAACUCACCUGCCGAAGCAACUAGCCCUGAAAAUGGAUGGCGCUUCAGCGUCGACCCCAUACCCGGCCGCCGCGGCCGAAAAGCCUCGUGUUUUAAGCCGCGGUGAGUAGGAGGGGCGCGGAGGCGAGCGUUGAAGGUGCCGGGCGUAAGCCCGCCUGGAGCCGCCUCCGGCGCAGAUCUUGGUGGUAGUAGCAAAUACUCAAGUGAGAACCUUGAGGACUGAGGUGGAGAAGGGUUCCAUGUGAACAGCAGUUGAACAUGGGUCAGUCGGUCCUAAGGGAUAGGAGAAAUCCGUUCCGAGGCGGGACCUCUCGUUAUUGAAAGUCCCGCUGAUGACCGAAAGGGAAUCGGGUUAAUAUUCCCGAACCCGGACGCGGAGAUCGUCCUCUUCGGAGGUACAUUGCGGUAACGCAAACGAGCUCGGAGACGUCGACGGGAGCACCGGGAAGAGUUAUCUUUUCUUUGUAAGGAUUCGACUCCCUGGAAUCGGCUCGCCCGGAGAUAGGGAUGGUGUUUCCGUAAAGCACCGCGCCUCUUGCGGUGUCCGGAUCGCUCCCGUCGGCCCUUGAAAAUCCGAGUGAGAGAUAGUGAUUUUCGUGCCGGACCGUACCC